Leopardus geoffroyi (Geoffroy's cat) is the source of this 1258-nucleotide RNA transcript. It is a transcript of the gene named WBP2 N-terminal like, with no coding region annotated. Lineage: Eukaryota; Metazoa; Chordata; Mammalia; Carnivora; Felidae. The transcript is spliced from 8 exons. The record is from RefSeq and is a predicted model, not a curated record.
GGGGAGGGGUGCUGUCAGAGCCGGGGAUAGACCGACGACGGGUGGAACUGGCGGCUUGGAAACUCUUAGCCAAUCAGGGCCUUUCCCGCCUUUUCCGGCCUCGGCUGGCUGAGCCCCGCCCCCUCCACUGGGACGCUCGAGACCCCGCGGGCUUUCCGGCGCACGGAGUGGGCAGAGGCUGGAGCCCGUGGCCUCGCUGAGUGUCUUGAUGCAGUCUCAGGAUGUGGACCUCUCCUUCCCACAGCAACCAGAGAGAUCCAGUCUCUUCAGUGGUACAAAGAGGGGGACACUGUUUCUCACUUCAUACCGGGUGAUCUUCGUGACUUCACACUUAGUCAGUGAUCCCAUGUUUUCUUUCAUGAUGCCAUUUGAUCUGAUGAGUAACUGCACCGUUGAACAACCGGUCUUUGCUGCCAACUACAUUAAAGGGACUAUUCAGGCAGCUCCGGAUGGUGGCUGGGAAGGACAGGCUACUUUUAAAUUAGCCUUCAGAAAAGGAGGUGCCAUCGAAUUUGCCCAGCUGAUGGUGAAAGCUGCCUCUGCUGCUGCCAGAGGAGUUCCACUUGGAAGUGCAAGUUACUGGUUCAGCCCUCCAGGACUGCUUGUAGUUACUGGGCAGGGGAACAUGAUGUGCACGCAACAGAUGCCUUGUCCAGCAUACCCAUUUGUUGUCUAUGGAUCCCCACAGGCAGGAUAUGGACCCCCACAGGCAGGAUAUGGACCCCCACAGGCUGGAUAUGGACCCCCACAGGUGGAAUAUGGACACCUGCCAUGGGGAUACGGACCCCCACCAGCAGGAUACGGACCCCCACCUGUGGGAUCUGGAGCCCCACCAGGAGCAUACAGAGCCCUGCCUGUGGGAUACGGAGCCCUCCCAGCUGGAAACGAAACCUUACCGACUGGAAGUGAAAACCCAGGGGCUGGAAAUCAAGCCCCACCUCCAGGAUAUGAAGUUUCACCUGCUGGAAUUAGAGCUGGGUCUGGCAAAUCUGUGGCAAUCCAACCUCCUGGGUAUGAGGCUUCUCUUCCCCCUGCCUCAUCUUCUCAGAGCCAUUCACCAUCUUCCAGGAAUUAAACCUUGAAGACUCGCCAAGCAAAGUGGCACCCGAAAACCGAAGUCAGAAUAGGAAGGUAGACUCAGGUGCCAUGCAGUCGGAAGCGUUUCCUGUGCAUGUGGUGGCCUGAUCCUGUCUGCACAUCUGUGAGGUCCUGGGAAAUGAUAUGGGAAAGGGAGAGGCUGUCUCCAUUCCUGGAGCCA